GACGAACGCUGGCGGCGUGCCUAAUACAUGCAAGUUGAGCGAUGAAGAUUGGUGCUUGCACCAAUUUGAAGAGCAGCGAACGGGUGAGUAACGCGUGGGGAAUCUGCCUUUGAGCGGGGGACAACAUUUGGAAACGAAUGCUAAUACCGCAUAACAACUUUAAACAUAAGUUUUAAGUUUGAAAGAUGCAAUUGCAUCACUCAAAGAUGAUCCCGCGUUGUAUUAGCUAGUUGGUGAGGUAAAGGCUCACCAAGGCGAUGAUACAUAGCCGACCUGAGAGGGUGAUCGGCCACAUUGGGACGGAGACACGGCCCAAACGCCUACGGGAGGCAGCAGGAGGGAAUCGUCGGCAAUGGACGAAAGUCUGACCGAGCAACGCCGCGUGAGUGAAGAAGGUUGUCGGAUCGUAAAACUCUGUUGGUAGAGAAGAACGUUGGUGAGAGUGGAAAGCUCAUCAAGUGACGGUAACUACCCAGAAAGGGACGGCUAACUACGUG
RNAcentral lists this ribosomal RNA (497 nucleotides) under uncultured bacterium. Its description in RNAcentral is "partial 16S ribosomal RNA". It matches the Rfam family "Bacterial small subunit ribosomal RNA", at positions 28 to 507 of the family's 1533-position model. The record is from RNAcentral.